RNAcentral lists this ribosomal RNA (372 nucleotides) under uncultured bacterium. RNAcentral's name for it is "bacterial SSU rRNA". It matches the Rfam family "Bacterial small subunit ribosomal RNA", at positions 525 to 896 of the family's 1533-position model. The record is from RNAcentral.
ACGGAGGGAGCUAGCGUUGUUCGGAAUUACUGGGCGUAAAGAGUACGUAGGCGGUGAUUCAAGUCAGAGGUGAAAGCCUGGAGCUCAACUCCAGAACUGCCUUUGAAACUAGAUCGCUAGAAUUGUGGAGAGGUUAGUGGAAUUCCGAGUGUAGAGGUGAAAUUCGUAGAUAUUCGGAAGAACACCAGUGGCGAAGGCGACUAACUGGACACAUAUUGACGCUGAGGUACGAAAGCGUGGGGAGCAAACAGGAUUAGAUACCCUGGUAGUCCACGCCGUAAACGAUGAUAACUAGCUGUUCGGGGUCUACGAUCCUGAGUGGCGCAGCUAACGCAUUAAGUUAUCCGCCUGGGGAGUACGGUCGCAAGAUUA